AGCAGCCGCGGUAAUUCCAGCUCCAAUAGCGUAUAUUAAAGUUGUUGCAGUUAAAAAGCUCGUAGUUGAAUUUCGGGAUCAAUAUGUUGGUCGUGCCUUGGUACGUACUGGCAUUAUUGGUUUCUACCUUCUGAAGAACCUCGAUGUCAUUAAUUUGGUGUCUUGGGGAAUCAGGACUGUUACUUUGAAAAAAUUAGAGUGUUUAAAGCAGGCUCGCGCUUGAAUACAUUAGCAUGGAAUAAUGAAAUAGGACGUUUGAUUCUAUUUUGUUGGUUUCUAGGAUCGACGUAAUGAUUAAUAGGGAUAGUUGGGGGCAUUAGUAUUCAAUUGUCAGAGGUGAAAUUCUUGGAUUUAUUGAAGACUAACUACUGCGAAAGCAUUUGCCAAGGAUGUUUUCAUUAAUCAAGAACGAAAGUUAGGGGAUCGAAGACGAUCAGAUACCGUCGUAGUCUUAACCAUAAACUAUGCCGACUAGGGAUCGGAUGAUGUUAAUUUUUUAAUGACUCAUUCGGCGCCUUAA
This 520-nucleotide unclassified non-coding RNA is filed under the name uncultured Glomus. Its description in RNAcentral is "SSU rRNA". It matches the Rfam family "Eukaryotic small subunit ribosomal RNA", at positions 569 to 1091 of the family's 1831-position model. Lineage: Eukaryota; Fungi; Glomeromycota; Glomeromycetes; Glomerales; Glomeraceae. The record is from RNAcentral.